GACGAACGCUGGCGGCGUGCUUAACACAUGCAAGUCGAACGGAAAGGCCCUGCUUGCAGGGUGCUCGAGCGGCGAACGGGUGAGUAACACGUGGGUGAUCUGCCCCUUACUUUGGGAUAAGCCUGGGAAACUGGGUCUAAUACUGGAUAGGACCAUGCUGUAGGUGGUGUGGUGGAAAGAUUAGUUUCGGUAAGGGAUGAGCUCGCGGCCUAUCAGCUUGUUGGUGGGGUAAUGGCCUACCAAGGCGUCGACGGGUAGCCGGCCUGAGAGGGUGGACGGCCACAUUGGGACUGAGAUACGGCCCAGACUCCUACGGGAGGCAGCAGUGGGGAAUAUUGCACAAUGGGCGCAAGCCUGAUGCAGCGACGCCGCGUGGGGGAUGACGGCCUUCGGGUUGUAAACUCCUUUCAGCCAUGACGAAGCCCUUGUGGUGACGGUAGUGGUAGAAGAAGCACCGGCUAACUACGUG
RNAcentral lists this ribosomal RNA (469 nucleotides) under uncultured bacterium. RNAcentral describes it as "partial 16S ribosomal RNA". It matches the Rfam family "Bacterial small subunit ribosomal RNA", at positions 28 to 507 of the family's 1533-position model. The record is from RNAcentral.